RNAcentral lists this ribosomal RNA (253 nucleotides) under uncultured bacterium. Its description in RNAcentral is "partial 16S ribosomal RNA". It matches the Rfam family "Bacterial small subunit ribosomal RNA", at positions 524 to 776 of the family's 1533-position model. The record is from RNAcentral.
UACGGAGGGAGCUAGCGUUGUUCGGAAUUACUGGGCGUAAAGCGCACGUAGGCGGGCGGGAAAGUCAGAGGUGAAAUCCCAGGGCUCAACCCUGGAACGGCCUUUGAAACUUCCUGUCUUGAGGUCGAGAGAGGUGAGUGGAAUUCCGAGUGUAGAGGUGAAAUUCGUAGAUAUUCGGAGGAACACCAGUGGCGAAGGCGGCUCACUGGCUCGAUACUGACGCUGAGGUGCGAAAGCGUGGGGAGCAAACAGG